GGCUCACUAACCAGCUGUGUCAGGAAGCUAUCUUCCACGCUCUCCAGGAACCUCCUAGACUGCCUUCUCUGGGCUGUGUUGUGCUUCCAGGAUAUGUCAGGGAAGUUGAAGUCCCCUACAAGAACAAGUGCCGAUGAUUUCGCAACUUUUGUCAGCUGACUGUAGAACUCCUCAUCAGUCUACUCAUCCUGGUUCGGCAGUCUAUAACAGACCCUGACCAGGACAUUAGCCUUUGAUUUACUUAAUUGUUUCAAAUAAUUUACUUAGUUUUAUUCUCAGCCUUUUGUUUGUUUUAAAGUUUCUACUUCAAAUUUAAGAAAGAUAUCUGCUAAAAUUACAUCUUUUUUUUUUUUCUUUUUUUUUUUUUUUUCCCCUGUACUGAUUGUUUCUAUUAAAGAUGUUAUCUUUUAUUACAACUAUGCUAAUACCUUCAUGCUCUUGUGAUUGCACUGGCAGCAUCAGCACAACAGAAUAUUCAGUUAAGUUAUUCCAAAUCAGAAAUGCAAAUUCCUUUUGCUCAAUCUUGAAUUUUGUCACAAAUGUUUGUGCCUAUACAGAAAUCAAGACCAACAUCUGGUGUGCAGUGUUUUUUUUCCACCUCCUGUUUUCCAGUCAGCUUCAUGGGACAGGUCAGAAGUAGAGUACUACAUAAUGAGGCUGAGAUUGUAAGAAUACAUUUAAAUAUAAUGCUGAAAACUUUCUGUGAUGUGAUUUAGCUCUUUAAAGAUGACAGUGUAACUGAUGAAGAAACAAAGACCAGGUCUUCAAAAUAUAUUACGUAUCAGUCUGUGACAAUAUUUGUUCACCUAAGAUUGGUAUGAUGCUACUGUUGACACAGAAAUAUAUUGUAUGCAGACAUACUCACAAACUAUAGAAUCAAUUCAGUAUAUGUUGACUUAGCCUGGAAAAAAAGUCAUUUCCAGACAACCAAAGAGUGUUCUUGAAAUCUCUGUAAGCAAUUUAUAAAAUUAUUUACCUUGCUCAGCUGUUAGUAGUGGAUUCAUUGUUUUAUCUGAGGCAGAAUAUAAUAGCUUCAAAGGCAGCAAAGCCUCUCUGGAAGUAUAAAGGACACAUUCAGCCUGGAUGCAGUGUAAUACAAUUUUUAUGGACUCCUUAGGUAGUAAAAGCUAUGAGUGAGGACUCUGUUGUCUGUCUUCUCAUUCUCUUCUAUUUCUUCAGUGCAUUGUUUACAAUGGAGUCCAAGAGGUAAUGGUGAUUUCUGUUUCUGGAAUGUGCUAUUCGAUGGUUUUUCUUUGAUGUACCAUGCUUAAGAAUAGUGUGUACUUGUUUGCAGAUAUACUCUUCACAGUUUCUUUGAAUCUCUUCAGCAGAUGGAGUAAUUUAAAAGGACUAUGGGACUCUAGGACAUGUGGAGGAAGAUUUUCAGUCAGUCCUUUAGGACUUGGAGAAUAUAAGAGAGAUUAAUGAGAUGCUGUUAAGAUAUUGAGUAAGCAAGACAUAACUGCUGAAUGUUACUGAAAUAAUAACCAGGCUUCUGGGAGUAAAAAGGCCUUUUCCAGCGUUUGGGGCAGGUGGGGUUUGGGAAAAAGUGAAAGUUGGUGCUUGAGCUUUAUGAAUUAAUGUACCUUUUUGCAUUUCUUAUCAAAUUUGAGGGAAGAGAUGUAGCAUACCUGUCUUUGUGCUGCUGUAGUCACUGUAUUCCUGUGACCUCUCCAAUGAAGAGUUCUGUGCAAAAAGUGCAUCUGGGGUAGAAGAGACCUCUUCCAUUCACCUUAUCCACUAGCUGUGUUUUGGAGACUAGCUCCAGGAGCUGUGGUAGUCUUUACCAUCAACAUCCCUUUGCUUGCCUACAAAAGUAGAGCCAUUUUCUACCUCACAAGAAAACCGAUAAAUUAACAGUGCAUAGUUUCUUAAGAAGAUUUACUGUGGGAGAAACUAAUUGGGAGUCUUCCAGGAGCUUGUUACCCAUCAAAUACGCAGUUUUAAAGAUCAACAGCUUGAGUAACUGGUGGCUUUUAAUGACUCUGUUGACUUCCGUGAAGACUUCCAUCAAAAGGAAAACAUUGUUUUCUUCCUGAAGAGGAAGACCAUGCCAGUGAUUGUUAAUCUCUAUUUGGAGAACAUGCAUAGGACACACAUGUGCAUAUGGAUAUGAUUCCAGUUUGAGAACCCUCAUGGAUUACCAUUUAAACAAAAAAGUCCUAAGUGAACAUACUGAGUGAUAAGCAUGACUAAUUUAGAAGCACAAAUUGUCACACCGUUUCUGUUUCAAAUAAGAGAAAUAAGCAAAUCAUUUGCUAUGAAGUCAACUUAUGUCAUGACAACCGUGUUCUCUAAAGUCAAAGGAGUGAGAAGCGAUUUAAACCAUCUAUUAUCUAAGAAUGCCUGGCAGCCUAUGCGGUCAAUAGACUCGUUGCUCACGUUUUUAUUGAGUUUCAUCUUCCUGUUUGCUGCCUUGGGCUAUUAUUUUAUACACCUGCACUCAGCCAGAAAUAUAAUGAAAAAGAAUCAAUCUCUGAAGAGAAAGUUAUCACCAGCCAAUAACAUUGGGCCACUUUCAUGGGUCCUGCAGUGUUUCAUCCAAUUGCCAAAAUGCUUUACCAUUAUAAACUGAAGAUAGUAACUCAGCUGCUCUUCCUGGAAAAAUCUUACCUUGUUGUCAGUGUUGCAAGCCCUUGCUUGUAGAAGGAUCAGCAGUAGAUUGGAAAAGAAAAAAAUAUCUAUCCUUUACUUUUUACAAGUGCUGGAGGACUAUCCAUAUGUGGCAAAAGAUGCUCUUUGGACUCCACCUUCUCAUCGCAAUGAUGAAAAUCUGAUUUGCAUGAUAUUGUACUCUCUACAUGGAAUUCAAGGAACCCUAAAGUUAUAUCCUUGCAGAAUGUUCUUGGUGAAUGACCCUUGCCUGGCUGUGCCAGUACCUCUGGCCAGGCAAAGAAGACUUCCUUUCAAAGCUGCAAGUUCCUGGGAUACCUUGGGGAUUCAGCAGAGCUUUUACCACUGAGGCUGCCAUGCUGUCACAUAGCAUUCACUUCUCAUAGAAACCAUUAAACCAAUGAAGUACUUUGCCUAGAAGUGAUAUGAAAACAGAGUCUCCGAAAUGUCUGACCAUGUUCAUCCCUCUUGGCACAGCCAGAACAGCCUCCCCAUGCCUGGAUGCACUCUGUAACAGACAUCUUAAUGCCUUGCCUUGCUCCUGCCAAUGAAGAUGUAAGUGGGGUUUCCUUAGAGCAGUGAUGCCUUCCAGCUUCCCCAGUGCGGGACCAUGCCCAAGUGAGACCAACUCCGUGGAAGCACCUGUGAUGGUUUCCAAAACACCUCCUCCCUUCUGGAAAAGAGAGAUUGCUCUGAGCAUGACCCCUCCUGCCUGCUGACAGCAAAUGCUGGUUCAACACGAAUGCCUGGAGCAGAAUUAUUGAAAAGCUUUGUACGAGACUGCAGGGCAAAUUCAGGCUCAUGGAGCUUUUCCUGCUUUGACUGAAUCAUGACAUUCAGAUUGGAAUCAUGUUUUCUCCGGUGGCAGCAACAAUGAGAUUUCUGAACCAGGUGCUCUGUGAUCUUCAGCCACACCUGGAUAUCCUCUGUCAUCAGGUGAUGGUGAUAAAAGGCAGAGUGGUGCCUGGUUUGCAGACUCCCAGGCAGGCCAGUGGGCUGGACUCAAGCACAGCAGAAGCAGGAAUUCACAGGCUCCUACACUUGCUGUCAGAAAGCACUGCAGAAAUCUGUGGAGUGGGGGCAAGAAAACAAAGCAGACCUGUCUGACCACUUGGAAACUUUCUACUUGUGAAUAUAGCUGCCAAUUCUGACACAGCCAGGGAGAAAGACAACUUCAAAAUGUGUUAUGUCUGGCUGGGAUGAGAGCCAGAUUAUUAACAGGAUGACUUGUUUUGUGAGAGUAAGUGAAAAAUUCAAUACCACCUAUGCUUUCAGUCCCCUCUCUCAGUUCUGAUGCCUGGAGUCUUUGAACUGAUAUUUGAUUAUUUAUGAAUGUAUAAUAACCAAAUAGUGGCACUAAAUUGAGAGACAUUAUCUUCACAGUUGACAUAGAGGCUCCACAACUGCCCAUUUCUCCACUUUUUUUUUAAUACACUUGAAUGACAAGCUGCUGAUAAAAAUAAAUACUUUGUGACAAGAGAAGAAAUAUGACUUGAGGGUGUCAGUGUUGGAAUGAAUAUCACAGAGGUCUUCCAUCACAGUAGUUAAAUGUGGAAUGGCAUCUAAAACUGCACAGCUCAAUAAAUUGCUAUUAUAUAGGCUAUAUUUGUAAUCAGGGGAUGCUAUCUGUAGUCUUAUAGCUGAGUACAUGUAUCAGGGCAAAAUAUUUCUAAUAUCUGAAAUGUACUGCAUCUAAGCCUCAGCUUUCAGACAACAAAGGAUUACUUUCAAACAGUAUGUCUUCACAAAUCAAUGUUUUUCUUAUCUUUGUUGGUUUAUUUUCACACUAUCUAACACUUCAUUAUUAAGCUGUACUUUCUGUGUUGUUUGUUUGUUUUUGAAUUAAUUUCAUGUAGGAUAUGGCAGAUUUAAGUUUUUGUUUUGUUUUGUUUUGUUUUCAUUUUGUAUGAGUGUUCUGUAAAUGGUAAGUGUAUAUAUACCAGGAUGGGAACACAAGUGGCACCACAAGUCAAAAAUGAUGCUGGGUAGUAAAUUUGCCUUCUAUUUGCCAUUUAGUUUUCAUUUCAUAAAUUUAUACCUAAUAAUGUUGGUUCCUUUGUAUAAAUAACCAAUAAUUAAUUUAUAUUCUUCAGUGGAACACAAUGUGUAACAUUUUCUAAACUGUUUUUUGUCCAUAUAAUUUCUUCCAUCUUUAAUAGCCCCUUUCCCCCAACUACUAAACUUUCUUCAUAGUUUGUGUUUGUCUUAGAAACACUUGCCCCUUGGUCUGAUUAAUUACUUUGUAUACAAUGCCAAUGCUUUUUAAUCCUCCACUCUUCACCCUCUUACUUAGAAUUCAUUGUUUAAAAUUUUAAUGAAGAUUUAUUAAUGGUUUUAGGACGUGUUCUUUUAUUUAUUUAUUUAUAGAAAUUGCAUUAUCUCUUUCAUAAAAUUUGAAGAGACUUAUAUGGGAUUUGCAUUAUUAAUGCUAUUAUUAUCAGUAUCAUCAUUAUUAAUUCUACCUAUUUACUUUUGCUGGUAUACUUUUUUUUUUUUUCCAUUUGAACCCUCAACUUACAAAACAUUAAAAAUACAUUGCAAUGCAUGAAUGGCAGGAAGAUUAACAUGGCUUUCCAUUUAGGCAGUGUGUCUCUAUGGCCUUAUGCUUUUCCUUUUUAACAUUACAUAGAGAAAGAAAUAUCACCUACAUUUAUAUAUUCAUUAAAUGAAAAUUCAUAAUCUAGAUGUGGAAAAGUAAGUGAAUUAAAGUUUGUAAUCUUAUAUUGCAUGCUGAAAUUUCAUAGUUGAAUCUGUGAGUUAUGCUAACAAAAAGAAACCCUGCAGAGUGAUAAUAAAUACUUUCAGUGGAAACCCAUUAGAAAUGAAAACAGAAAUAUAAACAGAAAUCUUGCUGACCAGUUUUUUCUUUUCACUUUCUGCCUCCUCUUGAAGUCUUGUAUUGCAAAAAUAUGCAAAGUGUAAUUUUGUACUAUAUAUUUGGUCCCAGAAGCACACUGCAAACAUCUAGCUCUAAAAUUACAGUGAUCUAUCUGCAGAUUUCUUUGCUCUCUAUUUUACUUCCUAUGUCCUGGAACACAAGGUUUGUUGGCCAAUAUAAAUAUAAGCCAUAUAGUUUAACUGUAGAGGCUAUUCUUACGCAUAGAAAUGCCUAAUACUUCCCUCCUGUACCCACUCAUAAUUCCCUUAACUAUGUCAAUAAUAUCCUGUGUCAGGAAGCUUGCAAGUUCAUUAUACAUUGUGCCUGAUUCUGGCAAACUAUAAUUAGUUUAAAAUUUCAAGUGAAAAGGAAAGAGCAACUAAAAAUUCCAAAAACAAAUGCAAACCAAAAAUGGAUCAAUAUAACACUUCUCUUAUUUCCUACUAAAUGAUUCUCUAUUUCUUUGUGCAUUGCAAGGUUGCUGAUGCUUAACUAGUAUUUUGGUGCUCGCUCAGGAAAUUUGCUGCACAAAAGUCAAAUGCGACCUAAGUAUUAUUAAUAAUUUGUUGUGGUGUUUGGCAACAUAUGUUUGGCAAAGAACAGGAGUAAUAAGCUUUGAAGUGCAUGCAUGUUUUGAGAGGGGAUUUUUCACAGGUGCUGAAGCUGCAUGGGUCUCAGAUGUUCUUAAAGAUCUAAGACAACAGAAUAUCUCUCCAAACCAUUAAAGUUUGAAAAGCAAGUGAACAGAUGUUCAGUCCUUUCAUUUAAUAUUUCAAGCAGCUGUGUAACUUCACUGCGUUGAAUUCCACCUCCCCCCCUCCCCCCCAACAUUUAAAAACUAAACUGGGUUUAAGGUCAAGCCUGAUGACAGCCUGAGCUGGUUCUGACAGCUGUUUAAAUGUUUGUGACAUCUGCCUCAGAAGCUAGGAUGCGUGUCUCUCUUCUGCCUGAACUGCCGCACAACGGUUUUGUCAUUCCUCCAGGCAGUUUCCUCUGGUGAAUGACUCAAGGCGCAGGGAGCUGCUAAAAGUUCCUGAGAUGUCGGUUGCACACUCUUAACUGCUUCAUGGCCUUUUCAUCAGGAUGGGCAAAAACACAGAGUUUAAACUCUUUAUUAGCAACUUGGAGGAAAAGCAAAAGUUCUUGAAGAUAUUCCUUAACAUGUCUGAGGCACAUUUUGCUUCAUUUGAAGAGAUCUGUCACCACAUUCCUGAUGAUAGGUGGCUAAUUUCGCAGAGUACUCAGUCACAACAUGACAUUGUCCUUUCUUCACUCAAAAGCCUGUAACUAAACAACUUCUCAAAUGGCAUCUCCCCAUGAGGCUUGCAGCACGAGCAGACAACUGCAGAAAUUCUGGCAGCUUGCUGAUUAAUCCCUAACAUUGGGCUCAUCUGUUUCUGUAUUUAAUUCUCAAUAAGUCUCAAGAAGGCAGACUUCAACACGGUCAGGAAAUCAGCAGACAAAACCUCACGGAACAAUCUUAAGAGGUAGAAGGCCUGGAGAGACCUAGCACCUCCUUAAAAGCUCAUUACUAUAUUCAAACCACCUAGUGCAUGGAAAGGAUGGAAAGUUCCACAGAAACAAAUUGGUUAAAUUGUGAUCUGAAAUUCAUUUCUUGUCUUUUUUCAGACAGCUCCCACUGACAGCUUGUGUAAUGCUGACAUUAAAGGAUAUAUUUCUUUCAGGGUGUUUAGCAAAUUGCCACUUAAGGCUGGGCUUUGUGCUGAUCAUCUGCUUCUGUGUUACACUGCAGGGUAGCUUUCUCAAUGCAACAUAUGAACUUUUUAAUUUAAUUUUAUUUUUUAAGUGGAGAAAACCUUUGACUAUCUUUCUAUGCACCUGUAUGAAUGAUGUCUUACUUGCUGGGGCAUUGCAAUUUGACACAGGAUAGUAGCGAGAGCUGCCAUUAUUUAUAGCAGUGUCUUGUCAUUCCCAAAUCCGUGACCUAGUGUCUCAUGCUACGGGGGAGCAAAAAGAAGUAUAUCAUCUGUAAUGAGAAAUCAUCCCUAAAUACUUACUUCAACAGUAUGAAGUAUCUAAGGAAGGACUUAUAUAAUAUUUUGUUGUCUGUUUUGUCCUGUGAAGAUUUCAUGUAUGAUAUGGUCAGAGUUUGCUGUCCUCUUGUUUGUUUUCCUGAUGAAAUUUUGUCCAGUGUCAUUGAUUUGUGUUACCAUGAACUGGAUCUUAUCUGUCCCAAACUCAGUAUUUUCUCUGUGAGCCCGUCAUCACUUCUCUCAGCACUGAUGUGUUUCAUCAGAAUUGAUGCUGCUAUUCCUAUGUCAUCAGUUAUUUUCUGGAUGCCUGUAAGGUUUCCAAGUAGUCUUUGUUCUUUUGUUGAAACACUUCAUUCACUGACCUUACUCCAAAAGGUAAGCAGAGAAACGUGUUUCUGCCCCAGGGUGUACUGAAAGUGCACAGUUAAUAUCAUUUUUCAUCUAAUCUGACUUGUCAGUAUCCAUCCCUCCUACUGGGAUUACUUUUAGCAGGCCAGUUGGCUUUGACCAUUUACUAUCACAGCUUAGCCUUCCUGAAACUGCUGGAACUCAGGUAUGUUCAAGUUUCACCGUUUUUUGUCUGAUGUGAUGCUGUUAACAAACAGACUGAAUAUUUUUGUCUAUACUCCCUUGUUUCCUUAUCUGCUGUUUUGAACAGGUCUGUCACUGCAAAAGUACAGCUGUGCCUGGCACAGUCUGAUGAAUGCAGAUAUAUGUGGUGCUCCUUAAGGGAGACUACUAAUUCCUGGAAGACUUUUGGGUGUGGUCAGUGUUCUGUGAAGUUUCAUGUCUGCUUUGCCUUAAAACCUUGUGUUUGAGUUACACUGGCCUCCGAGAUACUCCCAAAGGGUCAAAGAUCAGCUUUUCUUCAGCCAUUGCCUUGUUCAGGUGACCUCAGAGUUUUACCUGGGACUCCAUUACUGCACAGGUAGUUCAUUUAGUUUCUUUAUCUGGACUGGGAUAUGGAGUCUAUUUUAAAAGCUGAAACUCAGCUGCUAUGCUUAACUUUGAGUACAUUUCUUGGAGUACUUUCUGCAUGUGCUGUAGAGUUUGUCCUAUUUUAUGAUACUGCACCCACAAGAGAUUAGUCACAUCUGAGUUCAGCCAGGGAUUUGUGGCUUUUUCCCUGGGGUGUAUUUGUUGUUUUGAAAAGCAAGAAUAGUGGUUACACAUGCUGGAUUUGUGACAGAAAAUUUGCACAAACCUGUGGUAAUGUUUCUAUCCAUGUAUGAGGCAUGCAAGUUUUUCUACUGUGACUCAAGGACCCCUGGGCCCACAUGCCUAUGCAAAUUUCAGACUACAGUGCAGACCUGAUCUCUGUCUGUGCAGCACUUCAGUUCUGCAGAUUAUGUCUUUCUGCAUGCCCAGAUCAGUCUUCCUCAGACACCUUUACACAAGUGAUUUAUCAGUGACGCUGAACACAGUUUUAUCUCUAAGCAUGUCAUUGUCAGGAUUUUCUGGUUCAAAAUUUCAAGCUUUUUGCCCCAGAUCUAUUACUUUCUUCCUAUCUGCUUUUCUUGGUACUGGUGAGACCAGAACUGAUAUAAUGCAAACACAGCAUUUUUUGUUUAUUUGUUUUUCUUUCACAGAUCACAGUAUUUCUAAAGCAUUGUUAAGGCAUCCUCUGGACUGGGAUUGUUUUCAGUUUGUUGCUUUGAUAACGUGAUCUAAAUCCCAGAAUCUCCUGAUCUAGUGAGUUCAGCACAAUUGCUACUUUCAAGUGCUACCCUGUUUAUCAGCUUUUGUCAACUUGUUCAAUGUGGGUAUGUGGGAUGCAGAAGGGGAGGUGAUUUAUCACUCCUGCUGCUCUGUACUUUUCCUCUGUUACAGGAAGUGCUACGCUCUGUAGUGCUACAUGGACAUUUGUAGCACUAAUAUGCAGUCUGAUCUAAAACUCUGUUUUAGAGUAAUAAUAAUGGCUCCUAUGGAGACUCCAACUAAGCAAUCCCUUAUCUGCUAUCAGACUCAGGAGACAUGUGACAUCCCUGCUGGGGAUUACACCUAAGUACAUCUAGAGAGACCAUAUCGGCAUAAAAAGCUAAUCUUCCUUGACCUACAGGCUACACCUCAAAGGAUAACCAUGUCACUAAUGCUUAAAGCAGGCAUAAGCACCUUCUGGAAAUUAACUUACUUUAGAUUAGGAAUGAUUUGGUAGAACAAAUCUACAUCUAGUGAUGUCACAUGUCACUGAAGUUUCCUUGGUCUGCUACUAACAGAAUUGUCAUAAGCAGGAAACAUCCAUAAAUAAAUGUAAACAUGUUUGUGUGAAAUAGUCCUCUAAAGUUGUAUUGGAUUUCUUGCUGUUGGUUUUCUCCCAGUGUUCCAGUACUGCAACAUGUCCUUAAAGAAAAACUAACAGUUGAGGCUGGAAAGUCAAUACAAGCAUAUAUAAAAACACACUCUUGCCUUCUUUCAUAGCAUCACUCAACAACAUAAAGAAAAACACUCAGCAAAUAAUAGAAAAUAAACAAAAACUGGAAGUGGAUUUAGGUUUUUCAGAUGUAGUUAGGGCACUAGUCCUAUCACCACCCACUAAAUGCUGGGAUUUGUAUGACAAUGUGAUCAAAUAAUUUCAUCUCAAUAGCUUUUUUUAAUUUUUAAGUAGUUAUGAGUAUAUUUCCUCUAUGGAAAUAUCAGGUCUAUGAAACAUCUGCUGGUUAUCCCAGGAAAGUUUGCUCAUUCUGUCCCUACUUACUCAUUUUUAGUUGUAAAUUUGGACAAAACUUAACUAAAAUUCAUUACCUUCUUCCCCAGCUGUAGUGGCUGUAAACACUACAAUCAUCAUCAUUAGAAGAUCGUUAAAGAAACUAGACUAGAUUGAAUGAGGUUGUGUCCCAUAUUAAAACACAGUUGUUGCAAAGCUGUAGAAAGUCUGGUUCAAAGGGUCAUCUCUGAAGUGAGAUGUUGAAUAUCAUCAUUUUUUCCUAUCAGUCCAAGAUAUGGCACUCUGUGUUUUGUUAAAUUGGACCCAUGCUCUGUAAUUCAUUUUACAGUGAAGCUAUUGUCAUAAUACUUUUGACAUAAAACUGUAAUGAUGGUAUCUGCCAAGAACUGGGUUGUUUACCAAGACAGAAGUGUCAUUGAUUUCUGCUUUCUUAUCGUGAUGACCCCAAACCCUGUAAUGCUGUGUUCACCAUCAGAACAGGAUGUCAGAAGAAGCAGCAAUGCUAAUAUGCAACUGCACACAGUAUCCCUGUUUCUUCUUUCUUUUGCACAACUUUUGUCACCCAUUUCUAACCAACUGCUAAGAUACAUCAACUAUUUGUAAUAGUGCCAUCUGGUGAUACCUACAGUAAUGUUAUAGUGUAUAUUUGCUAUACUUCUGAAAUAAACAUAUUACUUUCUCUGGUGCUUGCUUAUCAGUUUGUAUUCAGAAAACAAUUCAAAAUUUUCAGUUUAAAUUAGGUGACAUUUUACAGCUUUUGCAAUUAAAUUUUGACUUGCCACUAUUAAAUUUACUCUAUUUCCUAUAUCACAUUAUCUGAAGUGAUUCAAAUUAAAAAAAAAAAAAAAAAAGAUACUAAAUUUAAAAAGUGCCAGGUAUUUAUAAUUAUGUAAUAGGGAAUAUACAUAUAAAAAAUAAGUAUGCAAAGAUUUUUUUGUUCCUUCCCUGUGUAGCCCUAACUAAAAGCAAACUGCAGCUAAAGCCUCUGAAUUUAUCGCAACAGCAUAUAUUCCAACUAUGUGAAUGGGUUCCUCUAAAUGAUCCGUUUUUUUCAAGACCUCAAACAGGGGCUAAGUUCGACAGUUAAGAAUCAGGUCCAAGAGAGUAAUGUCUUUCCAAGAAAAUAGUGCAAUUUUCCCUAGUUGCAAUAAUAAUAGUUUAAGACAUAAUGUGAAUUGUAUGGUUCUGAAAACCAUGACUGUAAUCUCCAGACAAAUUAAGGGAUAGUACUUCUGUGAGUAAUUCAGUAGCUGAUACUUGCUCUUUUAUUCAAAAUAAAUGUAAAAUGAGCCUACCCCAAAUUUUAAAAAGAAAUACUUCUGAUCUUUUAUUAUUAUUAUUAUUUUUAAUUUCUACUUCAAUGUUACAUGGCAAUCUAAAAGAAGAUUUCUCUACAGCUAUAUUGUAAAGUAUGUAUAUUUAGAAAGGAUCUAUCUCCCUUUUGGUUAGUACUGGGUAAAAAGUGAAAUAACAUAUUCAUAAACAUGAUUGCUAAAUCCAGCAAUUUGAUUCAAUGACGUUUGUACCGGACCUCCUUUACUUUUCCAUGUGCUUUGAGGAAUCAGCCUUUUGUUAAAAUAAAUGUUUAGGAAAGAACCAUUCAUGUAAAUAUGGCUGUAUUAGCACACCAACAGAAGUGUUUAUAUGCAAACAAGCACAUACAAACAAGCAUAUGAGAAGCACUUUUAAACUCCUUUUCACUCUUUUUAAAUGCAAAUACAAGAAUGAAAUGAAAAUUAAGUCUGUAAAAUAGAAAUAAAUCUGAUUGUUCUUUUCAUAUUUGCUAGGCCAAAACCUAGAGCUAAUAUACAUAUUUAAAUGUCAUUCAAAGCCUAGAAUUUAAAAGUCUUGUUACUUUCCAUGGGAUUUAAGUCAUCUACUGGAUGAAAUAUGUUUUAUGUCUCAAUGUGACAAAAGAUAAAAACUGCACUGCAGUUCUCAAAUAAUAAGGAGGAUAUUCUGAAUAGUAGAGUCAUGAGCCCAGUACGUUUGAGAAUUGCUACUUGAAUAACCAUGAAAAAUUAAAAUGUUUAUAUGGAAAGUGUAGGUGAUUCAUAGACAAACUGCUACCUGCAAAAAGACAGAUAAGCAUAACAAAAAUUAAUAAAGUGGCCAUGUUGAAUACUGAUGUCCAGCAGCAAUAGUUGAAGACUUUUUUAUUUUAUAUUUAGAUGGAGUUUAUAUUUAGAGUCUGAGUUCUAUUCUUGCACCUGUAAUUACAAAUUUGGAAAAAUACAGAACAUAAUUUUGUUGUGCUAGGACACAAAAUCAGUGAGCAGUAUUGCCCAAUUUUUGCAGAAAAUAUGUACAGAAAUACCAAUUGGUGGUAAUAGAGCUCCAUGAUUAUUUCCAAAACAGAUUUUCAACUCUCCCUUCAGACAGAAUUUUUUGUGCUUAUGCUAACUCACAUUAGAAUUUGGCGAUUUGGAAAAUCCUUGAAUUAGGAAAGAAAACGCUUAAUUAAUGCAUGGAUUGAUUUAUACAAAGAAUACUUCAGGCACUUUUUAUGCACAUAAAAAAAUAUGGUUAAGCAGUACAGGCUCAAGGUAUGUGAGUCAACACCUGGAAGACUUAUUUAAACUUAACUAUAGUUUUAUUUAAUAAACAAUAAAAAAAACUGUAGGCAUUUAUGCAGUUUUAGGAAAUAUCAAAGUAAAGCCUUUUUCUGAUGUAGCUAUGCUUUAGGGCAAAACUGAGCCAUCAUAUCAAUAAGAAUUACAACUUUAUAUUUCAAAGAUCUACUUGUUAAAUCUUUUAAAAGUAGACAUUAUACUGAAAUCAUCAGAGAAAAGCCAUGCAUUGUAAUGGAAAUAUUGAUGAAAACAUGCCCAUUUUAAAAUUGUAUGUUUUAUAUUAGAAUGCAAUCUAAUUAAGUUCACAUAUGAUAGAUGAUAGAUGCUUUCUGAAUUGAGGCAAUUCCCCACCCACAGAAUUAGCAUAAAUUUUUACCUCUGAGGUGAGCUAGAAUGAUAAAGAACAUUAAAGCUGCUAAUGGGCUUAGCUAUUUGUUUGUUGAACACUAUCAGAAAACGAAUAAUAAUAUAACAAAACUGAAAAAAAUAAUCACAUGCGGAAGUCCCUCACUAAUUUUGUUUUGGAAAGUAUAGAAUGCUUUAUGUAUAU
Non-coding RNA from Anas platyrhynchos (mallard), 13273 nucleotides. The record is from RefSeq and is a predicted model, not a curated record. NCBI's taxonomy places the organism in Eukaryota, Metazoa, Chordata, Aves, Anseriformes, Anatidae.